RNAcentral lists this ribosomal RNA (824 nucleotides) under uncultured bacterium. RNAcentral's name for it is "bacterial SSU rRNA". It matches the Rfam family "Bacterial small subunit ribosomal RNA", at positions 9 to 826 of the family's 1533-position model. The record is from RNAcentral.
GAGUUUGAUCCUGGCUCAGAUUGAACGCUGGCGGCAUGCUUUACACAUGCAAGUCGAACGGCAGCACGGGGGCAACCCUGGUGGCGAGUGGCGAACGGGUGAGUAAUAUAUCGGAACAUGUCCGGAAGUGGGGGAUAGCUCGGCGAAAGCCGGAUUAAUACCGCAUAUGCCCUGAGGGGGAAAGGAGGGGAUCCGCAAGGACCUUUCGCUUUCGGAGUGGCCGAUAUCGGAUUAGCUAGUUGGUGAGGUAAAGGCUCACCAAGGCGACGAUCCGUAGCUGGUCUGAGAGGACGACCAGCCACACUGGAACUGAGACACGGUCCAGACUCCUACGGGAGGCAGCAGUGGGGAAUUUUGGACAAUGGGGGAAACCCUGAUCCAGCCAUGCCGCGUGAGUGAAGAAGGCCUUCGGGUUGUAAAGCUCUUUCAGACGGAAAGAAACGGUUACGGCUAAUACCCGUGACUAAUGACGGUACCGUCAGAAGAAGCACCGGCUAACUACGUGCCAGCAGCCGCGGUAAUACGUAGGGUGCGAGCGUUAAUCGGAAUUACUGGGCGUAAAGCGUGCGCAGGCGGUUUUGUAAGACAGGCGUGAAAUCCCCGGGCUUAACCUGGGAACUGCGUUUGUGACUGCAAGACUAGAGUACGGCAGAGGGGGGUAGAAUUCCACGUGUAGCAGUGAAAUGCGUAGAUAUGUGGAGGAAUACCGAUGGCGAAGGCAGCCCCCUGGGUCGAUACUGACGCUCAUGCACGAAAGCGUGGGGAGCAAACAGGAUUAGAUACCCUGGUAGUCCACGCCCUAAACGAUGUCAACUAGGUGUUGG